This is a long non-coding RNA of Haliotis rufescens (red abalone), 522 nucleotides long. RefSeq lists it as uncharacterized. The record is from RefSeq and is a predicted model, not a curated record. The transcript is spliced from 4 exons. Lineage: Eukaryota; Metazoa; Mollusca; Gastropoda; Lepetellida; Haliotidae.
AACAUGGAUGCCCCCCGAGCCGUGCUUGUACUCUACUAAACUCUGCUGAUAGUCACACACGGACAAGACAGCUGCAAUUGGGGAAAAUAUGGAGAAAACUGCAGCAAAGACUGCCCUUCCAACUGUAUCGCCAAUCCAGGGAGAAACAUCAGGCACUGCCACAAGGAGACAGGGAGGUGCUCGGAGGGGUGUGUGCCGGGGUGGUUUGAGGAUCUCUGUGAUCAAGCCUGCAGCAAGAACUGCUUGAGAAACAUCUGUAAUCGCCAAAAUGGCAUCUGCACGUUUGGCUGUAGUGGAAGCUACACAGGCGACUAUUGUAACAUUUUACAAGUAGACGCAUCUACGAAAGGUUCUAUUGACUCAACCACGAACGGUCCUAUCGACACUACCACAACACAACCCACGAAUCUUGCUGCGAUUCUUGUCCCUGUGAUCAUCGUCAGUAUCAUCGUUGCUAUCAUCCUUGCUGUGGUGGUGCUCAGACUAAGGAGGAACAAGUCGAGAAGAAAACGGAAAGAGGGG